GCUUGCGGCCAGCUCUCAGAGCGACAAUGGGAUUCCAGGGCAGCAGAAAGGCUCCCUACCAGACAAGGUCCAGGAUCCAGUCCACACACAGUCUCUCUCAACCUACAUGGUCAGUUCACACCACUAAGGAUGAAAUUGCAAAAAAUGAAACAAGGUAGUUAAGCGAAGCACUGUGAAGCUGUCCGCAUCCUCAGCAGUGCCGGUUCCAUCUGCACCUGCCACGGAGCAACGCACAUGGCGAGCAGCCCUCUCCUGUCUCACCCGCUGCUCCCCUCAGCAGUGUAUUUAGUCAGUCUGCCUGUUCUGCUCCCCGCUCUGUCUCUGGUGAAUCCUCUCACCCUCCUGCACAUCUGUACCCCAGCUCUUGUAUGCAUAAAUAAAUAAAUCCUAAAAAAAUUAAAAAUAAAAAAAAGA
This is a long non-coding RNA of Talpa occidentalis (Iberian mole), 414 nucleotides long. RefSeq lists it as uncharacterized. Lineage: Eukaryota; Metazoa; Chordata; Mammalia; Eulipotyphla; Talpidae. The record is from RefSeq and is a predicted model, not a curated record. The transcript is spliced from 3 exons.